RNAcentral lists this ribosomal RNA (270 nucleotides) under uncultured archaeon. RNAcentral describes it as "partial 16S ribosomal RNA". It matches the Rfam family "Archaeal small subunit ribosomal RNA", at positions 477 to 747 of the family's 1478-position model. The record is from RNAcentral.
CUGCAGCUCAAGUGGUGACCGCUAUUAUUGGGCCUAAAGCGUUCGUAGCCGGCUGAGUAAAUGCUUGGGUAAAUCGUGCCGCUUAACGGUACGAAUUCCGAGUAGACUACUCAGCUUGAGACCGGGAGAAGCUAGAGGUACUCCUGGGGUAGAGGUGAAAUUCUGUAAUCCUGGGGGGACCACCAGUGGCGAAGGCGUCUAGCUAGAACGGGUCUGCCGGUGAGGGACGAAGCCCUGGGGCGCAAACCGGAUUAGAUACCCGAGUAGUCC